RNAcentral lists this ribosomal RNA (456 nucleotides) under uncultured bacterium. RNAcentral describes it as "bacterial SSU rRNA". It matches the Rfam family "Bacterial small subunit ribosomal RNA", at positions 46 to 525 of the family's 1533-position model. The record is from RNAcentral.
GGAUUAGGCAUGCAAGUCGAGCGGAAUAUCUUGCGUAGCAAUACGUAAGAUGUUUAGCGGCAAACGGGUUCGUAACACGUAGGAACAUCCCCAAUUCACGGAGAUAAUCCGCCGAAAGGCGGACUAAUAUCCGAUAGUCCCGCAAGGGUAAAGUCGCAAGACGGAAUUGGAUUGGCCUGCGUCCUAUCAGCUUGUUGGUGAGGUAACGGCUUACCAAGGCUAUGACGGGUAGGGGGCGUGAGAGCGCGACCCCCAACACUGGAACUGAGAUACGGUCCAGACUCCUACGGGAGGCAGCAGCCGAGAAUAUUGGACAAUGGGGGAAACCCUGAUCCAGCGACACCGCGUGUGGGAAGAAGGUCUUCGGAUUGUAAACCACUUUUAUAUGGGAGCAAGUUAUUGAGAGUACCAUGGGAAUAAGGGGUUGCUAACUCUGUGCCAGCAGCCGCGGUAAUA